UACAUUUGACCCUGCAGUGUGUUCCAUGAUGCUUAACUAGACAUCCGGACAGUGUGUAUGGAAGAUGGCGACACUUAUUCUCCCCGGUGAAUGGAUCAAAAACUGGGAAAAAUCAGGAAAACACGAAUUUGUGCAACUCUGCAAAGAGCUAACAGAGAAAACUGAUCAUGGGAAUGAAACUAAAGACAUACAGGCCGCUCUUUAUGAGGUCUGCUCGCAGGUUGUCCAGGGUAACCUGAAAAUUGAUCUCGUUUCCGCUGUCCUCGGGGAAAUGAUGGAACUCAGAGAUGAUUUGCCAUCAAUUUUAGCAGAUGUGUUCUGUAUAUUAGAUUUAGAAACUGGUGCACUAGAAGAAAAGAACAAGCGGGACCAUUACACUCAUUUAGUGGGAGCCUGUUUGUCUUUUGUACCGGAGGCCAUCCUGAAAGAACGACUCGACCCAGAGACCUUGGAAUCUCUUGGAUUGAUAAAACAAGCUCAUCAGUUUAAUCAAAAGAUUGUAAAAAUCAAGACUAAGCUAUUUUACAAACAGCAGAAGUUUAACUUGCUAAGGGAAGAGAACGAGGGCUACGCCAAACUGAUCACAGAACUCGGUCAAGACCUUUCCGGCAACAUCACCAGCCACCUCGUCCUGGAGAGCAUAAAGUCCCUCAUAGGCUGCUUCAAUUUGGAUCCUAAUCGGGUUCUGGACAUCAUCUUGGAGGUGUAUGAGAGCCGGUCUGAACAAGAUGAGUUCUUUCUGUCCCUCAUCAAAUCCUACAUGUGUGAGCCAAUCACCCUCUGCCAUAUACUGGGCUUUAAGUUCAAGUUCUACCAGGAACCUAAUGAGGAAACUCCAAAAUCACUUUACCACAUUGCUGCUGCUCUCCUGAACCACAAGCUGAUAGAGCUGGAGGAUCUCUACGUUCAUCUUAUGCCAGUAGAUGCCACCAUUGUAGAAGAACACAAACGGGAGAUUUCAGAGGCCAAGCAGAUCGCUCGCAAGCUGGUGACAGUCGUGCUUCCCUCGGAGAAAAGUGAAGACAAGGAGAAGGAGAAAGAAAAGGAAGAAGAAAAGAACGAGAAGCCACCCGACAACCAGAAGCUCGGUCUUUUGGAGGCUCUACUCAGGAUCGGAGACUGGCACCACGCCCAGAGUAUCAUGGACCAGAUGCCGUCUUUUUACGCUACUUCUCACAAGGCCAUUGCGCUGGCGCUUUGCCAACUUGUGCACCUGACCGUGGAGCCUCUUUACAGAAGAGCUGGCGUUCCAAAAGGAGCAAAGGGCUGUGCGCUGCAACCGCUGAAGAACAAGCGGGCUCCUCAGCCCACCGAGAGCUUCGAGGAUCUACGGAAAGAUACGUUCAGCAUGCUCUGCUACCUGGGCCCUCACCUCUCCCAUGACCCCAUCCUCUUUGCUAAGAUAGUACGAUUGGGCAAGUCCUUCAUGAAAGAGUAUCAAUCUGACGGUAGACCUGAAGUGAAAGAUAAGAUGGAGAUAUUGUUGAGCUGCUUCCUGAGCAUCGCAGAUCAGGUGUUGCUGCCCUCUCUCUCUCUAAUGGAGUGCAACGCCUGCAUGUCUGAGGAACUAUGGGGCCUGUUUAAGCUCUUUCCCUACCAGCACAGGUACCGACUUUAUGGGCAGUGGAAGAAUGAGACCUACUCCGGCCAUCCAUUGUUGGUUAAAGUAAAAGCCCAGACCGUGGAAAGGGCCAAAUACAUUAUGAAGCGCUUGACCAAAGAGAACAUAAAACAGUCUGGACGACAGAUUGGCAAACUGAGCCAUAGCAACCCCACCAUCCUCUUCGAUUACAUGUUGUCUCAGAUCCAGUGGUACGACAACCUCAUUGUUCCGGUGGUGGACUCAUUGAAAUACCUCACAUCUCUCAACUAUGACGUCCUGGCCUAUUGCAUCAUCGAAGCUCUGGCCAAUCCCGAGAAGGAGAAGAUGAAGCAUGACGACACUACACUCUCCUUGUGGCUCCAGAGUUUGGCAAGUCUGUGUGGAGCCGUGUUCAGAAAAUACCCGAUUGAAUUGGCCGGCCUUCUGCAGUAUGUUACCAACCAGCUGAAGGCGGGAAAAAGUUUUGACUUGCUGAUUCUGAAGGAGGUGGUGCAGAAAAUGGCUGGCAUUGAGAUCACAGACGAAAUGACUUCAGAGCAGUUGGAGGCCAUGACAGGAGGAGAGCAGCUGAAAGCUGAGGGCGGCUACUUCGGCCAGAUCAGGAACACAAAGAAAUCUUCUCAGCGCCUGAAGGAUGCUCUGCUUGACCACGAACUAGCGCUGCCGCUGUGUUUACUCAUGGCCCAACAACGAAAUGGAGUCGUUUUCCUGGAGGGAGGAGAGAAGCAUCUAAAACUCGUGGGGCACCUUUAUGACCAGUGUCACGACACACUGGUGCAGUUUGGUGGUUUUCUAGCCUCCAAUCUCAGCACAGAGGAUUAUAUAAAGCGAGUUCCCUCCAUCGACGUCCUUUGUAACCAGUUUCACACCCCGCAUGAUGCCGCUUUCUUCUUGUCGCGCCCCAUGUACGCACAUCAGAUCUUGUCAAAAUACGAGGAGCUAAAGAAGGCUGAAAAAGGCAACCGACAGCAGCAGAAGGUCACCAAGUACGUGGCGGCGUGCGAACAGGUGAUGAUGCCGGUGCACGAGGCUGUGAUGUCGCUCCAUCCGGCCAGAGUCUGGGACGAUCUGCGGCCUCAGUUCUACGCCACCUUCUGGUCGCUCACCAUGUAUGACUUGGCCGUGCCGCAUGCUGCGUAUGAGCGGGAGGUAAACAAGCUAAGGGUCCAGAUCAAGGCCAUCGAGGAGAACUCUGAGAUACCUUUAAAUAAGAAGAAGAAGGAGAAGGAACGUUGCACAGCCCUGCAAGAAAAGUUACAGGAGGAAGAAAAGAAACAAAUGGAGCAUGUCCAAAGAGUUCUGCACCGUCUCAAGCUGGAAAAAGACAGCUGGUUGUUAACCAAAUCCACAAAGAACGAGACCAUAACGAAGUUCCUGCAGCUGUGCCUGUUCCCUCGCUGCAUCUUCUCCUCCAUCGACGCCGUGUACUGCGCCCGCUUCGUCGAGCUCGUCCACCAGCAGAAAACCCCGAACUUCUGCACUCUCCUCUGCUACGACAGGGUCUUCUCUGCCAUCAUUUACACGGUGGCCAGCUGCACAGAGAAUGAGUCUCACCGCUACGGCCGCUUCCUCUGCUGCAUGUUGGAAACGGUGACCCGGUGGCAUAGCAACCGCGCCGUCUACGAGAAGGAGUGUGUGAAUUAUCCAGGCUUCCUGACAAUCUUCCGAGCCGCAGGGUUCGAUGGAGGAAACAAAGCGGAUCAGCUGGAUUAUGAGAACUUUCGGCAUGUGGUCCACAAAUGGCACUAUAUGCUGACUAAAGCUUCAGUCCACUGCCUGGAAACAGGAGAUUACACCCACAUCCGGAACAUUCUGAUCGUUCUUACCAAGAUCUUACCCUGCUACCCAAAGGUCCUGAACCUGGGCCAAGCGCUGGAGUGCCGGGUCCACAAGAUCUGCCUUGAAGAGAAGGAUAAGAGGCCAGACCUCUAUGCCUUAGCAAUGGGUUAUUCAGGUCGGUUGAAAAGCCAGAAGGUGCACAUGGUCCCUGAGAAUGAGUUCCACCACAAGGACCAGCCAGCUCGCAGCGCCACGCCGGCGAGUCAGCAGAACGGCCCUGGAAGCACCGGCAAGCCCGCUGCCAACACCAGCAAGACCGAGGAGGGGGGAUUUGAAGACGGGGACCGGGUCAAGGAUAAGUCUCAGGGGACCUCAAAGCCAGUCAACAAAGCCAACAGCACAGCAGCCAAAGUGACCACCAGCAAUGGAAACGGUGCUCUCAACAGCACCAAAGCUGUAAAAGAUGACAAAGAGAAGAGCGGGAAAGAAAAAAAAGAAAAGAAAGAAAAGACACCAGGAAGCACUCCGGAGACGAAGGCGGAGAGCCGCAGGGAGAAGCAGAGAGACGAAAGAGCGGGAAAGGAGGAGCGGUUGCUGCGCGAGGGUAAGGAGAAGACCCCGAAAGCAGACCGGGAGAAAGUCAAGCUGGACGAAAAGAGCGGCAAAGACGACAAGGCCAAAGCCGGAAACGGGGAGCCAGUGGAACCAGGCAGAGACGCCGUCAAGGAAUCCAAGAACAAGGAGAAAGGAGACAGGAAUGCUGCGACUGCAACCCUCAAGUCACCAAAUCCGAGAUCCGAUUCAGCCGAAUCUGAGAGGGAUCACAAAAGACGAAAGCUCGACAGUCACUCGUCCCCAUCCCACUCCUCAUCUGUUAAGGUUAGUAUGGCCUGAGGAAGGCUGUGCCCGUUUCUUCUCUGUCUGCUGGAGCAUUCCCUGCCUUGCACAUUCCAGCAGCUCCGAAGAUCAUCCCGGGAGCGUUGUCGCAUCGCAGGCACGGCAUCUGGAAGUCUCCCGACUCUCCAACAUGGGAGUUGGAAACCAUUCCAUGGACUUGAGCUGAAAAUUUUCCACUAUUGGGAGAAAUCCUGAAGGACUUAGUCAAGAGAAUAUUAUGUAUAUUAUAUAUUUUCAUAUUGAAAAAAAAUGCCUAUUUUCAUAGAAGUGAAAGCAGUCGGUGUGCCUUCGGAAGAAUCUUUUGACCACGUUUCUAUAUUCCCGUGGAGUUUUUUUUUUGUGUGCUUUUUUAAAAAAAAAAAAUAGUAUUCCCGCCCCGUCAAGAAGUCUCCAAAGGCAAAGUGUUUUUUCCUCCGACCAGGAGCCGUAUACAACCAGUCGAAAUAGUCUCCAAGAGCUUUUUCCCUCCAUUUUUUCUGAGCUCUUUCUUCUUUAACGCGAUGUAAAGUACCUCGGUGUCGCCCCGGAGCCCGCUCAAAGACGGAUGGUGUCCAGCAAACCUCUCUGGCGGCGCCUCCAGAGAGUCUCCACGUCCGAGCCGCCGGCCCCUCUUCCUUCUUCGCUUCUCGAGACGGCCCAUGCCACCACCACCACCAGCUUCGCAUCGCACCGAGCACGCCCAGUCGGUCCCGCCGCCAGCGCCGCUACACUCGACUCUACAGCUUCCGGCCGUCUUCGCAUCCGUCGCUCCUGGCAAGCCAUACACGGAAGAGAGAGCCGCCAGCGCCCCGAGGAAGACGAGAGAAUGAAUGUUGCGAAUCCACCAGAAAUGCUGUGGAAAAUAAAGCCUGCCCCCUACAAAGAGAGUGUGAGGGAGAGAGUGGGUGAGACCCGAGUCGUCUGGAGCCUCGGCCCAGCCACUGGCAGCUUGUGAUAGGCAUUUAUUUAAUCCUUCCACGAGAGAAAUAGGCUCCAUGUGUCUUAUCCAUUCCUGAACUGUAAGUGACAGCAGCAGUUAUCUCUAUAGGGAUGCACUCCAAACACACACACAGGCACACACCUGCACUUACACACACACACACAGUCACAGAUAUGACCACUAUUAACAGCACUCGCACUUUAGAAGUAUUGUUGUACCAGCUAUGCUGAUAUAGCAGACAUGCUUUAGUGUUAAGACUUACUCCAUAUUUUACACAUGCUCAGGGUUUUUCUAUUAGAUCUUAUCUAUUUUCUAAGUGUUGACAUUCCAGAUGUUGAGUCUAUGAACUCUCCUCUAUGUAAUAACUUUGUCAAAGCCUCAGUUUCUGAAGGUCAGAGAUCAAGGGAGGAGUUUGCUGUUGGAUCGGCCUCUCUCCCCCCUCCUCUUCCUCUUCUACCGACUUUCUACUGCUGUCUGACAACCUCCUCCUACCUCCCACCCCCUCCCAGCUCAUCUGUCAUCUCCAUUCAUCCCUACAGGACAGUAGCAACGAACUCAAGGAUCCUGCAACCAAGGAUCACGCCGUCAACGACCGCGAGGCCAGCCAAGAAUCCAAGCGGAGGAAGGACGAGAACGG
RNA transcript from Xiphophorus hellerii (green swordtail), 5835 nucleotides. It is a transcript of the gene named THO complex 2, with no coding region annotated. The record is from RefSeq and is a predicted model, not a curated record. The transcript is spliced from 33 exons. Lineage: Eukaryota; Metazoa; Chordata; Actinopteri; Cyprinodontiformes; Poeciliidae.